CAGUCAGUACCCUGUGGAUGAUGAUUCUAAUGAUAACCCUUACAUCCAAAUCUGUUCAGGCGUCUAGAAGUUAUGGUGGAAUAAAGAAACUCACA
Maniola jurtina (meadow brown) is the source of this 95-nucleotide long non-coding RNA. RefSeq lists it as uncharacterized. NCBI's taxonomy places the organism in Eukaryota, Metazoa, Arthropoda, Insecta, Lepidoptera, Nymphalidae. The transcript is spliced from 3 exons. The record is from RefSeq and is a predicted model, not a curated record.